GAUGAACGCUGGCGGCGUGCCUAAUACAUGCAAGUCGAGCGAACGGACGAGAAGCUUGCUUCUCUGAUGUUAGCGGCGGACGGGUGAGUAACACGUGGAUAACCUACCUAUAAGACUGGGAUAACUUCGGGAAACCGGAGCUAAUACCGGAUAAUAUUUUGAACCGCAUGGUUCAAAAGUGAAAGACGGUCUUGCUGUCACUUAUAGAUGGAUCCGCGCUGCAUUAGCUAGUUGGUAAGGUAACGGCUUACCAAGGCAACGAUGCAUAGCCGACCUGAGAGGGUGAUCGGCCACACUGGAACUGAGACACGGUCCAGACUCCUACGGGAGGCAGCAGUAGGGAAUCUUCCGCAAUGGGCGAAAGCCUGACGGAGCAACGCCGCGUGAGUGAUGAAGGUCUUCGGAUCGUAAAACUCUGUUAUUAGGGAAGAACAUAUGUGUAAGUAACUGUGCAAGUCUUGACGGUACCUAAUCAGAAAGCCACGGCUAACUACGUG
Molecule: ribosomal RNA, 497 nt
Filed under: uncultured bacterium
Lineage: Bacteria
Description: partial 16S ribosomal RNA
Rfam family: Bacterial small subunit ribosomal RNA
Source: RNAcentral